AUUGAACGCUGGCGGCAUGCCUUACACAUGCAAGUCGAACGGCAGCACGGGGGCAACCCUGGUGGUGAGUGGCGAACGGGUGAGUAAUGCAUCGGAACGUACCCGGAAGUGGGGGAUAACGUAGCGAAAGUUACGAUAAUACCGCCUCUUCUGUGAGCAGGAAAGCAGGGGACCUUCGGGCCUUGCGCUUUCGGAGCGGCCGAUGUCGGAUUAGCUAGUUGGUGGGGUAAAGGACUACCAAGGCGACGAUCCGUAGCGGGUCUGAGAGGAUGAUCCGCCACACUGUGACUGAGACACGGCCCAGACUCCUACGGGAGGCAGCAGUGGGGAAUUUUGGACAAUGGGGGCAACCCUGAUCCAGCCAUGCCGCGUGAGUGAAGAAGGCCUUCGGGUUGUAAAGCUCUUUCGGCCGGGACGAAAUCGCACUCUCUAAUACGGGGUGUGGAUGACGGUACCGGAAUAAGAAGCACCGGCUAACUACGUGCCAGCCGCCGCGGUAAGAC
Molecule: ribosomal RNA, 503 nt
Filed under: uncultured bacterium
Lineage: Bacteria
Description: bacterial SSU rRNA
Rfam family: Bacterial small subunit ribosomal RNA
Source: RNAcentral